UGAGGAAUAUUGGGCAAUGCCCGCAAGGGUGACCCAGCAACGCCGCGUGGAGGAUGAAUGUCGUAAGAUUGUAAACUCCUGUUAGAGGGGAAGAAUAGUACCGGUUGGACCGGUAUAUGACUGUACCCUCAGAGAAAGCCCCGGCUAACUACGUGCCAGCAGCCGCGGUAAUACGUAGGGGGUAAGCGUUGUCCGGAUUUACUGGGUGUAAAGGGUGCUCAGGCGGAUUUGUAAGUCAGAGGUGAAAUCUUACAGCUUAACUGUGAAACUGCCUUUGAUACUGCAAGCCUAGAGUAUGGAAGAGAGUGAUGGAAUAUCUGGUGUAGCAGUGAAAUGCGUAGAUAUCAGAUAGAACACCAAUGACGAAGGCAGUCACUUGGUCCAUUACUGACGCUAAAGCACGAAAGCGCGGGUAGCAAACA
Molecule: ribosomal RNA, 422 nt
Filed under: uncultured bacterium
Lineage: Bacteria
Description: bacterial SSU rRNA
Rfam family: Bacterial small subunit ribosomal RNA
Source: RNAcentral